GCCAGCAGCCAUAUCACUCUGCAACUCACAACUGGUAACCCACUGAAGCUAAGCAGCUGUGAGCCUGGUCAGUACCUGGAUGGGAGACCUCCUGGGAAAAAACUAAGGUUGCUGCUGGAA
Molecule: ribosomal RNA, 120 nt
Organism: Lepisosteus oculatus (spotted gar)
Lineage: Eukaryota; Metazoa; Chordata; Actinopteri; Semionotiformes; Lepisosteidae
Source: Ensembl